UCCGAUGACGUUCGGUGAGGAAUAAGCCCCGGUCAAUUACAUGCCAGCAGUCGCGGUACCUCGUAUGGGGCGACCGUUGUUCGGAAUCAUUGCGCGUAAAUGGCGCGCAGGCGGUUACAUACGCCUGGUGUGAAAGGCUACGGCUCAACUGUAGUUUCGCGCUGGGAACUGUUUGACUAGAGUUCUGGAGGGGAAGCUGGAAUUCCUGGUGUAGGGGUGAAAUCUGUAGAUAUCAGGAAGAACACCGGUGGCGAAGGCGAGCUUCUAGCCAAGAACUGACGCUGAGGCGCGAGAGCUUGAGGAACGAACGGGAUUAGAUACCCUGCUAGUACACAUUGUAAACGAUCUGCACUGCAUGUUGGCCCCUGAGGGUCAGUGCGGUAGUUGACGCGAUAAGUGCACCACCUGGGGAGUAUGCUCGCAAGGGUGAAACUCAAAGGAAUUGGCGGGGCCCCGCACAAGCGCUGGAGCAUCUGGUUUAAUUCGAUGAUACGCCGAGAAACCGUACCAGGGCUUGACAUAUACCAGACGUUACGAGAGA
This 541-nucleotide ribosomal RNA is filed under the name uncultured organism. Its description in RNAcentral is "bacterial SSU rRNA". It matches the Rfam family "Bacterial small subunit ribosomal RNA", at positions 465 to 1006 of the family's 1533-position model. The record is from RNAcentral.